This 254-nucleotide ribosomal RNA is filed under the name uncultured bacterium. RNAcentral describes it as "partial 16S ribosomal RNA". It matches the Rfam family "Bacterial small subunit ribosomal RNA", at positions 524 to 776 of the family's 1533-position model. The record is from RNAcentral.
CACGUAGGGUGCGAGCGUUGUCCGGAAUUAUUGGGCGUAAAGAGCUCGUAGGCGGUGUGUCGCGUCGGCCGUGAAAACUUGGGGCUUAACUCUGAGCGUGCGGUCGAUACGGGCAUCACUUGAGUUCGGCAGGGGAGACUGGAAUUCCUGGUGUAGCGGUGAAAUGCGCAGAUAUCAGGAGGAACACCGGUGGCGAAGGCGGGUCUCUGGGCCGAUACUGACGCUGGGGAGCGAAAGCAUGGGGAGCGAACAGG